GGAUGUGUAGGCAACCUGGCUCCGACAUCUGCCACCCCAUUGAUAGUCAGGGUUGAUUUGGCUGAUCUAGCUGGCUAGGCAAGUAUACCCUUCUUUCCUCACUGUUCCAUGUGCUUCCCUCCUGAAGCUGCACGCUUGGCUGAAGAGGAUGACCUUCUCCAAUAGAAGGAAGACCAUCCUUGGGUCAAGGGUAUAUGAGUAGCUGUGCUCCCCUACUAGAACCUCCAAACAAGUCUCAAGGUCCAUUGUCUUCAGUGAUCAUAUAGGGAAGGUAAGUAUCAAAGAGUGCCAGGUUAUUAGAACAAAGUGUACUUGUGUUU
This 320-nucleotide small nuclear RNA is filed under the name Echinops telfairi (small Madagascar hedgehog). RNAcentral's name for it is "7SK RNA (ENSETEG00000021561.1)". It matches the Rfam family "7SK RNA". From Rfam's summary of the family: 7SK was discovered as an abundant small nuclear RNA in the mid-70s but a possible function has only recently been suggested. The record is from RNAcentral. Lineage: Eukaryota; Metazoa; Chordata; Mammalia; Afrosoricida; Tenrecidae.